This 746-nucleotide long non-coding RNA is filed under the name Monodelphis domestica (gray short-tailed opossum). RNAcentral describes it as "lncRNA (ENSMODG00000049426.1)". Lineage: Eukaryota; Metazoa; Chordata; Mammalia; Didelphimorphia; Didelphidae. The record is from RNAcentral.
ACUACUUCCCCUCUGCAUAAACUUUGGCUCCUGACUCCAGCAGGAGAUGUUCCAGUCAAGUAGAGCUUUCCCAGCCAGAGAGAUGUCCUACUGAGUAUUAUUUCAAAAGGGUAAAACAACAACGUCUUUGCUCACUGACCUUUGGAAGUUCAGAGGAGUCAGUAGAGAAAAUCCCUAGGCUUUAAAAAUGGCAUUAUUCUUGGAGCCUAAAUCAACAAUCUUCUAAUGUGGGAAGAGAUCUCCUAAUAGAGGAAAGGGUCUAUCAGCUGGUCAUCCUUGGCAGGAUCUGAGGCCAUGUGUACGUCAGCAGCUGUUGCCUCAGUCUUUGGAAUGAAGAGAUGGUUGCUAUGGAGAUCCCUGUUGUGGGAGAAGGAAACCAAUUGGGUGAGCUGGGGAAGGGGAUCAGAACUUGCAAAAGUAUGAGUAGAGGAGGAUAAAGUUAAGCAAAAUAACCAGUAGGGAGCUCAUCAGAGCUCUAUGGCCAAAGAAGACAGGUGGUCUCCACCUCCCUCCACUGAAUGAGAACCAUGUAUCACUGAUAGAGCUUCAGCAAUCACAGCUGCCAGUUUCUUUGAGCCUUGAGGAUACAGUCCAUCUGGGGUUGAGAUUUCCCAAAUCCUUUGCCCAGUCUUUGCAUGGUAUGAACAUGAAGUUCUCUACCUCUUAUGAACCAAUUUCAUCUUCUCAAUGUCCUCCUAAAAUGUGCCAUACAUGACUGAAACUAAUAAAUUGAUGUGAAACUUUCA